AAUUAUUUUCUGUCAUGUUAAUUGACCAUUUUUCUGACGUAAAUUUUUAUAUUAAAAAAUACUAUUUCAAUUUUUUCUAAACAUCAUAAUAUAAAGAAUAAAAAAGGAGGAUGUAUGAAAUUUAAAAGUAUGGAGACACUAGAAACUUAUCACUGGAGUAUGAGUACUGAGCACUUUAAAUAAAUUAUAAACUUGAAUCGAUUUAAACUGCAUGAAUUUUAAUGCCUCAUCAAAAAUGACACCAGUACUUCUUCUUUAUUUUUUUCAUCAUACUGAGGAUUUGUGGAAAAUGUAUACAUAAUUUAUAUAUCUCAAAGAGGGAGCACUUUAAAACUAUAUUCUAAAGUUCAUAAAAAAUUUAUAGUUCUAGUUAUUGAUUAACGUAUCUUCUUUUGAUAUUUAUGUAAAUUAUUAUUUUUUUAUUUACAAUCGCGAAAUAUAAACUAAAUUUCAUAAGCAGAUGUGAAAAAAAAUUUUAACAAAACAGUAUCAUGGCUCGAAAUCAGGGAGAAGCUAUAUUGUCAAAUAGAAGUGAAAAUUGUCAUAAACAUAGAGCUGUUAAAUACACAUACUUCUUUUUAAAUUUAUUAGGAAUCGGACCGUUAACAACUGAAUCAUUAAAAAUCACAAAAAUAGUGUCUUUUAUAUGGUCAGCUACUAUUGUAACUAUUGGUGUAUGGGAAAUUUCCUUUAGAUUUAUCUAUGUGUACUUUGACGUAACCGAUGUAGAUGACCAAAUGGAUUUACUCGCUCCAGUAGUGUUUGUUACUGUAACAACACUAAAAUAUUUGUCCAUAGCAUAUCGUCAUGACACCAUAAAAAAGUUCACUAAACAUAUAUUUGAUGAUUGGAAUAUGAUUGGAAGUCAGGAAGAAGAAGAUAUUAUGGAAAAAAACUUGAAUAUGAGUAACAACAUAACUUUCGUAUUUGCAGUAAUGAUGUAUAUAAGUUGUGUGUUAUAUAAUUGCUUUAUGCCUCAUGUGAUACCUAUUCUAUUUAACAGUGAUGAUCGAAAUGCUUCUGAACGAAUAGUUAUUUUUCCUGGUUACAAUAGUGUAUUUGACGUCGAUUCAUUUCCGAUCUAUCAAAUUACUUAUGUUUUCCAUCAAUUAACUGCGUUAUCUACCUAUACAAUUCUUAUCACCUCUUGUAACUUAAUAAUAGUUUUGGUUACUCAUGCUUGCAGCCAGCUUCAAAUAAUUACAAAUCAAAUCGAUUCAUUGCUAAAUAAUUUUUCCAAAGAAGAAAAGUUCUCUUACGCAAAAUUGUCAUUUACAAUCAGUCGUCAUGUCAGGGUGCUUGAAUUUUCGAAUAAACUUUUGAAAAAAAUGAUAUUUGAAUUAUGUCUAAUCGAAGUUGGUGCUUCUUCUAUUCUUCUUUGUAUAGAUGAAUUUUGCGUUUUAAGGAUGCUAGAAAAAAAAGAAUUCGCAAAUAUGACAUCUUAUAUCAUGAUAUUUUUUUCUUUAAGUUUAAACGUACUUAUAGUAUGCUAUUUUAGCGAACUUCUCGAGGCUCAGGAGAAAAACUUAAUUCGGUUGAGUGGUAUAAAACUCCAGUAAAUACAAGACAGUAUUUUAAUUUGAUUAUAAUUAUGUCCCAACAACCUCAAAAAAUUAGCGCAGGUGGAAUCGUUGAUCUGUCUUUUGUGACUUAUCUUCAAAUAUUGAAAACUGGAUUUGCUUACCUACAACUUUUAAGAGCAGCAAAUCUCUAAAAUGCUUCUCAAAAAUGACAUGAAUGAUUUAAAAUGCAGUUUUAUUGUGAAAA
RNAcentral lists this unclassified non-coding RNA (1767 nucleotides) under Cotesia glomerata. RNAcentral describes it as "odorant receptor 4-like, transcript variant X1". Lineage: Eukaryota; Metazoa; Arthropoda; Insecta; Hymenoptera; Braconidae. The record is from RNAcentral.